GGCCCCGUAGCUCAGGUGGUUAGAGCAGCGGACUCAUAAUCUGAAGGUCGAGGGUUCGAACCCCUCCGGGGCCA
RNAcentral lists this transfer RNA (74 nucleotides) under Gemmatimonadota bacterium. RNAcentral's name for it is "tRNA-Ile". It matches the Rfam family "tRNA". From Rfam's summary of the family: Transfer RNA (tRNA) molecules are approximately 80 nucleotides in length. The record is from RNAcentral. RNAcentral also lists the same sequence under 2 other names. Lineage: Bacteria; Pseudomonadati; Gemmatimonadota.